Molecule: ribosomal RNA, 741 nt
Filed under: uncultured bacterium
Lineage: Bacteria
Description: bacterial SSU rRNA
Rfam family: Bacterial small subunit ribosomal RNA
Source: RNAcentral
GCUACACAUGCAAGUCGAGGGGUAGUUACUUUCGGGUAAUGAGACCGGCGCACGGGUGCGUAACGCGUAUGCAAUCUACCUUUUACAGGGGAAUAGCCCAGAGAAAUUUGGAUUAAUGCCCCAUAAUAUAUGUUUUUCGCAUGUUAGACAUAUUAGAGUUCCAACGGUAAAAGAUGAGCAUGCGUCCCAUUAGUUAGUUGGUAAGGUAACGGCUUACCAAGACGAUGAUGGGUAGGGGCCCUGAGAGGGAGAUCCCCCACACUGGUACUGAGACACGGACCAGACUCCUACGGGAGGCAGCAGUGAGGAAUAUUGGACAAUGGGCGCAAGCCUGAUCCAGCCAUGCCGCGUGCAGGAAGACGGUCCUAUGGAUUGUAAACUGCUUUUGUACGGGAAGAAACACUCCUACGUGUAGGAGCUUGACGGUACCGUAAGAAUAAGGAUCGGCUAACUCCGUGCCAGCAGCCGCGGUAAUACGGAGGAUCCAAGCGUUAUCCGGAAUCAUUGGGUUUAAAGGGUCCGUAGGCGGUUUAGUAAGUCAGUGGUGAAAGCCCAUCGCUCAACGAUGGAACGGCCAUUGAUACUGCUAGACUUGAAUUACAAGGAAGUAACUAGAAUAUGUAGUGUAGCGGUGAAAUGCUUAGAUAUUACAUGGAAUACCAAUUGCGAAGGCAGGUUACUACUUGUGGAUUGACGCUGAUGGACGAAAGCGUGGGGAGCGAACAGGAUUAGAUACCCUGG